Molecule: ribosomal RNA, 528 nt
Filed under: Anterastes ucari
Lineage: Eukaryota; Metazoa; Arthropoda; Insecta; Orthoptera; Tettigoniidae
Description: partial 16S ribosomal RNA
Rfam family: Bacterial large subunit ribosomal RNA
Source: RNAcentral
ACAAAAACAUGGCCUUUUGGGUGGAAUUUAAGGUCGGGCCUGCCCACUGACGUAGUUGAAGGGCCGCGGUAUUUUGACCGUGCAAAGGUAGCAUAAUCAUUAGUCUUUUAAUUGAAGGCUGGAAUGAAUGGUUUGACGAAAUAUUAACUGUCUCUAUAUAAUAAAUGGAAUUUAACUUUUGAGUCAAAAGGCUUAAAUGAAUAUAAAAGACGAGAAGACCCUAUAGAUCUUUAUAUAGUUAAGUAAUUGUUUUAUUUAGUUGUUUUGUUUUCAAUUAUUUUGCUGUAUUUUGUUGGGGUGACAUAAAGAUAAAAAUAACUCUUUAUAAUGGGAACAUUGAUUUAUGAGUGAUUGAUCCGUUAUUAACGAUUAUAAGAUAAAGUUACCUUAGGGAUAACAGCGUAAUUUUUUUUGAGAGUUCUUAUCGACAAGAAAGAUUGCGACCUCGAUGUUGGAUUAAGGAAUAUGAUUAGGUGUAGCAGUUUAAUUAAUAAGUCUGUUCGACUUUUAAAUCCUUACGUCAUCUGA